CCUACGGGAGGCAGCAGUGAGGAAUAUUGGUCAAUGGACGAGAGUCUGAACCAGCCAAGUAGCGUGAAGGAUGACUGCCCUAUGGGUUGUAAACUUCUUUUAUAUGGGAAUAAAAUGUUCCACGUGUGGGAUUUUGUAUGUACCAUAUGAAUAAGGAUCGGCUAACUCCGUGCCAGCAGCCGCGGUAAUACGGAGGAUCCGAGCGUUAUCCGGAUUUAUUGGGUUUAAAGGGAGCGUAGGUGGAUUGUUAAGUCAGUUGUGAAAGUUUGCGGCGCAACCGUAAAAUUGCAGUUGAAACUGGCAGUCUUGAGUACAGUAGAGGUGGGCGGAAUUCGUGGUGUAGCGGUGAAAUGCUUAGAUAUCACGAAGAACUCCGAUUGCGAAGGCAGUUCACUGGACUGCAACUGACACUGAGGCGCGAAAGUGUGGGUAUCAAACAGGAUUAGAUACCCCGGUAGUC
This 460-nucleotide ribosomal RNA is filed under the name uncultured bacterium. RNAcentral describes it as "partial 16S ribosomal RNA". It matches the Rfam family "Bacterial small subunit ribosomal RNA", at positions 338 to 795 of the family's 1533-position model. The record is from RNAcentral.